AGAUCUAAUGCAAAAUGUGGCUUUAAAAUACUCCAUACUCUCUCCCCAGAUUUGGAUGUGUCAGAAGUGAGAUUUAAAUAUGACCUCUGAAUAGAGAUUCAUCAGGGAAGGAAGCCCUUUCAGUGUGCCUUGGGAUGCCCAAGUGGCUAGACAUCCUGAUGUUUGGUAGCUCACAGACUGUCCAGUUUCUCGUUUGAGCUUGGGGAGGUGGCUUGCCUCAGUUCCCCCUGCAAUGCAGGUUUUACACUAUUGCUACUGACCCCUUUCGUGCUCCCCCUACCCUGCAGAGAGAGCUCCAUUCCCGUGGACGUGGCUCGGCAGCGGGAGCUCAAAUGGCUGGACAUGUUCAGUAACUGGGAUAAGUGGCUGUCACGGCGAUUCCAGAAGGUGAAGCUGCGCUGCCGGAAGGGGAUCCCCUCCUCUCUCAGAGCCAAGGCCUGGCAGUACCUGUCUAAUAGCAAGGAACUUCUGGAGCAGAACCCAGGAAAGUUUGAGGAGCUGGAACGGGCUCCUGGGGACCCCAAGUGGCUGGAUGUGAUUGAGAAGGACCUGCACCGCCAGUUCCCUUUCCACGAGAUGUUUGCUGCUCGAGGGGGGCAUGGGCAACAAGACCUGUACCGAAUCCUGAAGGCCUACACCAUCUACCGGCCUGACGAGGGUUACUGCCAGGCCCAGGCCCCGGUGGCUGCGGUCC
Molecule: small RNA, 694 nt
Filed under: Pongo abelii (Sumatran orangutan)
Lineage: Eukaryota; Metazoa; Chordata; Mammalia; Primates; Hominidae
Description: retained intron
Source: RNAcentral